CGGACGUAACGACGGUACGAGGAACCCUUGCUUCGGGAGGGACAACAGUUGGAAACGACUGCUAAUACCGCAUGACACAUAUUUAUCGCAUGGUAGAUAUGUCAAAGAUUUAUCGCUGAGAGAUGGCCUCGCGUCUGAUUAGCUAGUUGGUAGGGUAACGGCCUACCAAGGCGACGAUCAGUAGCCGGACUGAGAGGUUGGCCGGCCACAUUGGGACUGAGAUACGGCCCAGACUCCUACGGGAGGCAGCAG
Molecule: ribosomal RNA, 252 nt
Filed under: uncultured bacterium
Lineage: Bacteria
Description: partial 16S ribosomal RNA
Rfam family: Bacterial small subunit ribosomal RNA
Source: RNAcentral